GUCUAUGGCCAAACUAGACUGAUUGCACCUGAUCUUGGAAGCUAAGCAGUCCUGCGCCCAGCUAGUACCUGGAUGGGAGACCGCCUGGUCUUUGGGCAGAUGAGAAU
RNAcentral lists this ribosomal RNA (107 nucleotides) under Crocodylus porosus (Australian saltwater crocodile). The record is from RNAcentral. Lineage: Eukaryota; Metazoa; Chordata; Crocodylia; Crocodylidae.